This 239-nucleotide long non-coding RNA is filed under the name Mytilus galloprovincialis (Mediterranean mussel). The record is from RNAcentral. Lineage: Eukaryota; Metazoa; Mollusca; Bivalvia; Mytilida; Mytilidae.
AAUUGAAAAUUCUUGCUAUUGCACAAUACUGUGCAAUUGAAGAUUUCUUGCUAUUGAUGAAUACUGUGCAAUUGAAAAUUUCUUGCUAUUGCACAAUACUUAAUGUAAUAAUUUUGGAUCCUGAUUUGGACCAACUUGAAAACUGGGCCCAUAAUCAAAAAUCUAAGUACAUGUUUAGAUUCAGCAUAUCAAAGAAGCCCAAUAAUUCAAUUUUUGUUAAAAUCAAACUAAGUUUACUU